AUUGAACGCUGGCGGCAUGCCUUACACAUGCAAGUCGAACGGCAGCACGGGAGCAAUCCUGGUGGCGAGUGGCGAACGGGUGAGUAAUGUAUCGGAACGUGCCCAGUCGUGGGGGAUAACGUAGCGAAAGCUACGCUAAUACCGCAUACGAUCUAUGGAUGAAAGCGGGGGAUCGCAAGACCUCGCGCGAUUGGAGCGGCCGAUAUCAGAUUAGGUAGUUGGUGGGGUAAAGGCUCACCAAGCCGACGAUCUGUAGCUGGUCUGAGAGGACGACCAGCGACACUGGGACUGGGACACGGCCCAGACUCCUACGGGAGGAAGCAGUGGGGAAUUUUGGACAAUGGGCGCAAGCCUGAUCCAGCCAUGCCGCGUGCAGGAUGAAGGCCUUCGGGUUGUAAACUGCUUUUGUACGGAACGAAAAGGUUUGGCCUAAUAAGCUGAGCUCAUGACGGUACCGUAAGAAUAAGCACCGGCUAACUACGUGCCAGCAGCCGCCGCGG
This 500-nucleotide ribosomal RNA is filed under the name uncultured bacterium. RNAcentral describes it as "partial 16S ribosomal RNA". It matches the Rfam family "Bacterial small subunit ribosomal RNA", at positions 30 to 523 of the family's 1533-position model. The record is from RNAcentral.